Molecule: non-coding RNA, 252 nt
Organism: Pelobates cultripes (western spadefoot toad)
Lineage: Eukaryota; Metazoa; Chordata; Amphibia; Anura; Pelobatidae
Source: the annotation of a GenBank genome assembly
UGGUGUAAGGAGGUCCCCUGUCUCCCUGCACACAGUGUAUUAUAACUGCAGCUAUAAGGUUAUGGUGUAAGGAGGUCCCCUGUCUCCCCGCACAGUGUAUAACUGCAGCUAUAAGGUUAUGGUGUAAGGAGGUCCCCUGUCUCCCUGCACACAGUGUAUUAUAACUGCAGCUAUAAGGUUAUGGUGUAAGGAGGUCCCCUGUCUCCCUGCACACAGUGUAUUAUAACUGCAGCUAUAAGGUUAUGGUGUAAA